CCUACGGGAGGCAGCAGUGGGGAAUAUUGCACAAUGGGGGAAACCCUGAUGCAGCGACGCCGCGUGAAGGAAGAAGUAUUUCGGUAUGUAAACUUCUAUCAGCAGGGAAGAAAAUGACGGUACCUGACUAAGAAGCCCCGGCUAACUACGUGCCAGCAGCCGCGGUAAUACGUAGGGGGCAAGCGUUAUCCGGAUUUACUGGGUGUAAAGGGAGCGUAGGCGGUGCAGCAAGUCAGAAGUGAAAGCCCGGGGCUCAACUCCGGGACUGCUUUUGAAACUGGUGAACUAGAGUGCAGGAGAGGUAAGUGGAAUUCCUAGUGUAGCGGUGAAAUGCGUAGAUAUUAGGAGGAACACCAGUGGCGAAGGCGGCUUACUGGACUGUAAAUGACGCUGAGGCGCGAAAGCGUGGGGAGCAAACAGGAUUAGAUACCCUUGUAGUC
RNAcentral lists this ribosomal RNA (440 nucleotides) under uncultured bacterium. Its description in RNAcentral is "partial 16S ribosomal RNA". It matches the Rfam family "Bacterial small subunit ribosomal RNA", at positions 338 to 795 of the family's 1533-position model. The record is from RNAcentral.